Hymenobacter swuensis DY53 is the source of this 203-nucleotide regulatory RNA element. The record is from Rfam. Lineage: Bacteria; Pseudomonadati; Bacteroidota; Cytophagia; Cytophagales; Hymenobacteraceae.
ACCUUUGGCGCAGCACUUGGUAGUCGUUUCCGCGGUGCGGGACGGCUUUAAAAGGGAAUCCGGUGAGAAUCCGGGACAGUCUCCGCUGCUGUAACCUCUAUUGUAAAACCGGCCGAUAACGUGGCGCCACUGUUCCGCAAGGAAUGGGAAGGCCAUCGGCCCGGGGAGGGAGUCAGAAGACCUGCCGCUUGCUCCAUACAGUC